Long non-coding RNA from Cavia porcellus (domestic guinea pig), 830 nucleotides. RefSeq lists it as uncharacterized. The record is from RefSeq and is a predicted model, not a curated record. The transcript is spliced from 3 exons. Lineage: Eukaryota; Metazoa; Chordata; Mammalia; Rodentia; Caviidae.
CAGGGGAAGGAGACGUACAGAAAUUAUCUCUGCUUUGACUUUCAGCUUCAGGAUGGCGAGCUUCAAGGUCUACACAGUGUUUUCCUUGUGUUGCUUUUCCAUAAAUAGUAGGAAAGAAGCAGCCCAUUAGGAGGUGGAAGCUGGUGUGCACUCUGGGAUGCGCCAAGUCGCCAUGGCAGGGGCAGACCAAUGUUCGGCAAGUUCUGUGCUGUCUCAGCAGUGAUUCAGAAGUAGCUUCAGCAGGAUCAGGAGGAAAAGAGGAUGUGAUAUCUCCGUGCACUGAGAAAUGCACAAGCUACUUGUUCUAGGCUCUGGGGACACCACAACAGACCUGUCCCCAGCAGGUUUGCAGAAGAACAAAGAAAUCAGAUCAACUUAUUGUUGAGUGCCUGAAGGACCCAGCUACUAGAAUCGACAGUGUGCACCGGACCUCUUUGACAAUUUGUGGACAAAAAUGAGCUGUGCCAGAAGCUUCGGUAGCAGUAAUCAGAAUUCAACUGGGAAGCAGUGUCCUUGUUUGCUCCCCUUCUCCCUGCUCAAGUUGCAAGGCUGCACCUACUGCAGUGACUGGCGUGGGGCACAGUGCUCCUAUGCAGCGUGUACAGGUGAAACACUCACAUGGGUUUGCACUAUAGCCUCAGCAAAGUUUUUCAGCCCGGCCAAGGGUAGCUUUUGGACAAAAUAAAAACAAAAGGAGCAGCUCAGAUUUGGCACCCCUUAUCUUUUUGUUUGCCCGUUUAUAAUCCUAAUUCCAUCAGAGGUGUUCCAGAAUUUCUUGUGAUUGCCAGGUAACCCUACUGUGUGUGUGUGUGUGUGUGUGUGUGUGUGUG